GCAGUGGUGGGUCCAUGGUAGAGCUCUCACAUUCCACGCGGGAGACCUGGGUUAGCUUCCCAGCCACUGCA
This 71-nucleotide transfer RNA is filed under the name Loxodonta africana (African savanna elephant). It matches the Rfam family "tRNA". Rfam says of the family: Transfer RNA (tRNA) molecules are approximately 80 nucleotides in length. Their secondary structure includes four short double-helical elements and three loops (D, anti-codon, and T loops). The record is from Rfam by way of RNAcentral. Lineage: Eukaryota; Metazoa; Chordata; Mammalia; Proboscidea; Elephantidae.